GGAAACUCUGGUGGAGGUCCGUAGU
RNAcentral lists this non-coding RNA (25 nucleotides) under Homo sapiens (human). The record is from RNAcentral. Lineage: Eukaryota; Metazoa; Chordata; Mammalia; Primates; Hominidae. RNAcentral also lists the same sequence under 2 other names.